AACCGAGCGAAGCUUUGAGGUGGGAGGGAAACACUGAAAGGACGGAAGACAAAUAAAAGGGAUGUGAUCACAGAAAAGAAAGUGUGAGGCAGGAGAGAGGAGGAGGAAAAUGGAGGCAGGAGAAGGACACAAGCGAGAGAAUGAAAAAAGGAGACAUCAAAGUGAAAGGAGUACCGUAAUAUUGAGAAAAGAGACCCACGGUUCACCAGUUCCCUCAAACCACUCACUAUGUGACGCUGUCUGUCAUUAAGAGUCUGCAACAAGUGGCUGCAUAGCGGGGCGCGGCCACUACGGACUCCAGCGAGGCCUCCACGGGUCACGUGCUUCACGGGCCAACACCCGGUACUUUGACCGGAUAAUGGUUACUCUCACCUGCCAGGAUGGCUUUGUGCGCCUGCAGCUUCUGUCCAGCGACACACAGCGAGCAGCCGAUCAAACCACCGUAUCCACCCAUCCGCGUUCUCCUCGUGUCGGAGCGGUGAAUUCAGUUGGCUGUUUGCACGGAACCCAGCUGUGUCCGUGACUCACAGGGAGAAGCCCGCCAUUGACACAGAGGCCUUCAGCUGGAGCAUCUGCAGUCGUCUCCUCUGGCAUCGGCGCAGCAUAUGGCAGAGCCCAGUGAAGGAUGAGUGCUGUCACCCGGCAAAGUGCUUACCCACCGACAGGAGAGGAGAGCCGCACCAACACCAGGAGGAAGAGGAGGAAGCAGCUGAACGUCAGCACCCCCUCCACCCUUUAAUUCUCCCCCUGCCACCCUGCUCCUGAAAAGGGAGGCACUGGAGGAGCCUCAGAAGGGACGACCUCGGACCGGC
Long non-coding RNA from Gasterosteus aculeatus aculeatus (three-spined stickleback), 812 nucleotides. The record is from Ensembl. Lineage: Eukaryota; Metazoa; Chordata; Actinopteri; Perciformes; Gasterosteidae.